GAUAAACGCUGGCGGCGCACAUAAGACAUGCAAGUCGAACGGAAGUCGUUAUAAAAAGGAUUGAAGAUUUAUCUGAUUGAGAUUUUAUAACAAUGGCUUUAGUGGCGGACUGGUGAGUAACGCGUGAGCAACCUGCCUACUAGAGGGGAAUAACAGUGAGAAAUCAUUGCUAAUACCGCAUAUGCCAUGAACAUCACAUGAUGAAAAUGGGAAAAGAGUAAUCUGCUAGUAGAUGGGCUCACGUCUGAUUAGAUAGUUGUGGGGUAACGGCCUACCAAGUCAACGAUCAGUAGCCGAACUGAGAGGUUGAACGGCCACAUUGGGACUGAGAUACGGCCCAGAC
This 343-nucleotide ribosomal RNA is filed under the name uncultured bacterium. RNAcentral describes it as "bacterial SSU rRNA". It matches the Rfam family "Bacterial small subunit ribosomal RNA", at positions 28 to 336 of the family's 1533-position model. The record is from RNAcentral.